Molecule: transfer RNA, 56 nt
Filed under: Triticum aestivum (bread wheat)
Lineage: Eukaryota; Viridiplantae; Streptophyta; Magnoliopsida; Poales; Poaceae
Also listed under: 1 other name
Rfam family: tRNA
About the family: Transfer RNA (tRNA) molecules are approximately 80 nucleotides in length. Their secondary structure includes four short double-helical elements and three loops (D, anti-codon, and T loops).
Source: Rfam by way of RNAcentral
GCUUAGGUGGUAGAGCACAAAGCUCUUAACCUUGUGGACGUGGGUUCAAGCCCCAU